This 895-nucleotide long non-coding RNA is filed under the name Equus caballus (horse). RNAcentral describes it as "lncRNA (ENSECAG00000042523.2)". Lineage: Eukaryota; Metazoa; Chordata; Mammalia; Perissodactyla; Equidae. The record is from RNAcentral.
AGGAAGCCUAGCAACUACUUUUGCCAAACUUCUGUUUUAACAGCCUUGUUUGGAUUCAGUCAAUGAGAGGCAUUCAAGUGAAAUUUGGGAGAUAGAAGAGAAGCAGAAGCCAUUAUUGUUUCUCCAAUAUCAAAGACUGUGGACCCGAGGACUGCCCAUGGGGAUUUACUGAUCAGAUCCGUGCUCCAAUCAAGUCCUCUGUUUCCAUCAAUGACAGAUAAACCUGCAUCCAAGAAACCAGCAAAGACAGCCCUGAAAUACUUUUCUAGAGAACCUUGUCAAGUCUCACUCCUACUCCUAACCAUCCCGUUACUAUUCCCAGCAAGACUACAGACCAGGCUUCCUGAAGAUGCAUUCUCACCAGGCUUCAACCCUUGACAGCAUCCAGAUUUGCUGUGGCCCCAUGCUCUGCAGCCUGCAAACUGUGUCAUCCAGCCAACGUGGUUAACUCAUCCCAGAACACCCCCUGAAUCCUUGCCAGAGCUAAGCCCACAGUGAUGUUCCUUCUAUUCCUCCUAGGAACCAAGAGGUGGAGACCCGUAUAGUUUCGACUGUGUGCCAUGCACAGAUCAUGUCCUGCCAAAUACCAUGAUGUCCACUUGGAGGUGGUGGGACAUUUAAUGGUGGUCUCCAUUAUAGCAGAGGAAUCUAUAGAUUUUGUAGGUUAAUGGGAAUUGCUAGGUUUUCCAAAAUGACAAAUAGGAACACGAGAAAACCAAUUUACUCAGCCGCUAAUCUUGAGUGUCCUUUAUAACUACAUUUUCAGGAGAAAGCAAGGAAAUUUUUCUUUCUGUCAUUCACUUUAUUCAUGUAUACCAUAUAUAGGAAAAUACAUGAAUCACAAAUGUACAGCUGGAUGAAUUUUUGCAAAGUGAACACACUAGUUUAAUCAGUA